RNAcentral lists this ribosomal RNA (489 nucleotides) under uncultured delta proteobacterium. RNAcentral describes it as "bacterial SSU rRNA". It matches the Rfam family "Bacterial small subunit ribosomal RNA", at positions 29 to 523 of the family's 1533-position model. Lineage: Bacteria; Deltaproteobacteria. The record is from RNAcentral.
AACGAACGCUGGCGGCGUGCUUUUAACACAUGCAAGUCGAACGCGAAAUGGGGCUUCGGCCUGAGUAGAGUGGCAGACGGUGAGUAACACGUGGGUAAUUUGUCCUUGGGUGUGGAAUAACUACCCGAAAGGGUGGCUAAUACCGCAUAAGACCACGUCUCUUCGGAGAUGCGGUAAAAGAUUUCGGUUGCCUGAGGAGGAGCCCGCGGCCGAUUAGCUAGUUGGUGAGGUAAUGGCUCACCAAGGCGUCGAUCGGUAGCUGGUCUGAGAGGAUGAUCAGCCACACUGGUACUUAGACACGGACCAGACUCCUACGGGAGGCAGCAGUGGGGAAUAUUGCGCAAUGGGCGAAAGCCUGACGCAGCAACGCCGCGUGGGUGAUGAAGGCCUUUGGGUCGUAAAGCCCUGUCAGAUGGGAAGAAACCUAGUAAUAGCUGACGGUACCAUCAAAGGAAGCACCGGCUAACUCCGUGCCAGCAGCCGCGGUAA